AUGAAGCCAUCCAUUCCUACUGUAGUCCCUUUCUUGUGGCUGUGGAUGAACUGGGAGAGCCUCGGAGAGCAGGUGGAGCAGCACCCUUCUUCCCUGAGUGUUCACGAGGGAGGCAGCGCUGUCAUCAACUGCACUUACACAGACAGUGCUUCCUUAUACUUCCCUUGGUACAAACAAGAAGCUGGAAAGGGUCCCCACCUUGGGAUAGACAUUCAUGGAAAUGUGGACAGAAAGCAGAACCAAAGGCUCACCAUUUUCUUGGAUAAGAAAGCCAAAUGCUUCUCCCUGCACAUCACAGACGCUCAGCCUGGAGACUCAGCCGUGUACUUCUGUGCAGGCCUGGUCCAUCUGGGUUACAAUUGGCAUUAUGCUUACCUCAGUGAUUCUCCCCAGACCUUAAAUUUUGAGCACUGUUUUUGCAUCAACACUAACCAUCUGUCAGGGAGAUUCCAUAUGGACUUUGAAAAGAGAUUCCAUGUAAACAUGUCUUAA
Non-coding RNA from Meriones unguiculatus (Mongolian gerbil), 492 nucleotides. The record is from the annotation of a RefSeq genome assembly. Lineage: Eukaryota; Metazoa; Chordata; Mammalia; Rodentia; Muridae.